Molecule: non-coding RNA, 2353 nt
Organism: Labrus mixtus (cuckoo wrasse)
Lineage: Eukaryota; Metazoa; Chordata; Actinopteri; Labriformes; Labridae
Source: the annotation of a RefSeq genome assembly
UUAUUACAUUUUUAAUUCUCAUUACAAAAUGUUUGAUCAUUUGUUUUGAUAUUUAGAAAAUAAAAUAUAUUUUUAACAAUAGAUUCCUAAAAUAAAAGAUUGUGAUGCUUUAGUUUGAGGAUUAUCAUAGAUAAUAGAUGAAUAGGCAUCAUCUUCUAUUUACCAUCAUCUGAAUUCUUGUUUCUCAAAUAUUCAGAUUAAUAUGCAUACAUAAGCCAAAGUAUCACAAUGAUUCAUUAUGACAAAUUAUCAAUUACAAGAUGAAGAAAAUUAUAGAAUUUAAGUUCAGUGUGAUUGUUACCCACUGCUAAUAAUAAACGUUUCCUGACGCUCCAUACAGGAAACAGUGUUUAGUUUUUGUAUGAGGCUUUAUCACGGUGUUAUUUGGGGUGGGCACUGUGAUAUACAGCUGUACAAAAACCUGAGAGCAACAAUCUUAAACUAUCCUAUUUUAAAGAUGGACAAAAGGGGACUGGACAAAAUAUCUCACAUUGAACUAUAAGGAAACUAAUGUGUAAUGGUUUUUAUAAGCAGAUUUUUAGGUAAAAGUUGUUUAUUUAGUAGUUUGAAGUCGUAGGUAGUUCAUGUAUGUAAAUGUUAUUCUUAGUAAAUCUCAACUUUAAAAAGAGUCAAAGACUCAACAUGAACAUACGCUUAUAGGGGGACACUAGAGUUUCCUACAGAUCAGGACUUGGUGGUUUUCAAACCUUUAAUAAGGUGUUUUUCUGGUUCUUCAGGUUUUUGUUGAAGCAUUGAGUUGAGAUGUAUCACUGUGCUUACUUUGACUACUGGGGUCAAGGGACUGCAGUCACCAUUAAUUCAGGAACUGCACCGACUCUGUUCCCUGUGGUUCAAUGCGGCUCUGGGACUGGAAAUCAAAUCACUGUUGGUUGUCUGGCUCAUGACUUCACCCCAAAGAGUACUUUCCAGUGGACGGAUGCCAGCGGGACCAGUUUAACUUCUGUACAAUAUUCUACAACUGUCAAUGACAACAAAUUCACAGGUCUUAGUCUGGCCCGAGUAUCCAAAUCUGACUGGGGUUCAGGGAAAUCUUUUAACUGUUCUAUGACGUAUCCUGGAGGAUCCCAAAGUGUCAAAGUUGAAAACAACACACUCCCUCCAAAGUUAACGUUGGUAUCAGUGCCAAGAGAAGACAUUCGGGCUCUGAUGUGUUCAAUUGAUGAUUUUUUUCCCAAUGAAUUGACGGUAAAAUGGAAGAAAAAUGAAAUAGAAGAAACUGGCUUCACUACUUGGCCCCCCAAAUCAUUCAGGAACACAUUUUCAGCUGUCAGUGUUCUGAAUGUGAGGAACACAGACUGGGACAGUAAAGCCGUGUACACAUGUGAGGUGACACACAAAGGCACAACAUAUAUGAAGAAGGCCUCAAAAGCUGCUGUCACAUUGGCCCUUAACCAACCAAGUCCCAAAGAAUUGUUCAACAACAACCAGGCAAAGUUGGACUGUAUCGUUUCUGGACAAGACAGUAGUGUUGUAAACGACAUGAGAAUAACUUGGCAAAUUAAUGAACACAAUGUGUCUGAUGGCAUUACUUUGACGGAAAAUUCCGGAAAUGGUCAACACAGCAAAAUCAGCACGUUGACUCGGCGUCUCUCAGAGUGGCAGACAGUCAACAAAGUGAGAUGUUCUGCCAUGAGAGACAAUAUGACACCAGUAAUUCAAGACCUGACUGUCCAUAAAGGAGAUUGGAAGAAAACAAAAGUGACCGUCCACGUCCUCCCAGAGGAGGAAAUCAGCAAAGGAAACGAGGUCACUCUAGUGUGCCUGGUCUCCAGUCUUGAACAGCAGGAUUACUACAUCGCCUGGUCUGAGUACAUCGGACAAAAGACUGGAAACUAUGUUGAUGGCAUUAACUUCCCACCUCAGAAGACCCAACAAGGCUACUCAGUAACAAGUAUUUACUACACAACCAAGGACAAGUGGAACAACCACACGUACACGUGCAACGUCUGGCCUGCUGGCAGCAAUAGUUCCAUGAAUCCACAGCCAGUGUCUAAGGCCCAGGAGUCAAAAGUGAGUGGGGGUGAAUACUACAUACAUGAUGCCGUUGAAGAGGAUGAGUUCAGCAGCUUGUGGUCCACAGCCGCCUCUUUCAUAUUCCUCUUCAUAGCCUCUCUCUUCUAUAGCAUGAUAAUCAGCCUAGUCAAGAUAAGGAGUCAAUAAGGGAUGGAACGGAUGCACAACACAGACAAGUAAAUUUGUGAUUUUUGGUAUUUCUUUUUCAUCUAGUUUUAAAAGCAUGAACAUAAUCCACAAACUACUGUAUAUUGUAAUUUCAAAAAUGUAAUACAUGAUGUUUAAACAUUCUAUUAAAGUGUAUUUUCUGUAACCUAAA